Molecule: long non-coding RNA, 331 nt
Filed under: Elaeis guineensis (African oil palm)
Lineage: Eukaryota; Viridiplantae; Streptophyta; Magnoliopsida; Arecales; Arecaceae
Description: long non-coding RNA (EGUI_LNC023146)
Source: RNAcentral
GGGCCGGUGGAGGUGGCUCCGACCUCUGGUCUAACUCUGACCUAAGAGGGCACACCGGUUGCUCUCAAGCUAUUCUCGGUGCAGGAAGUCGACUCCGAUGAAUAGUCGGAGUGUUCGAUUCACUAUCUUUGUAUCUUUUUGCUUUUGCUUCAUCUUUGAUAUUUGUAAUCGGGCUUCAUCCCCAUUUUGUAACCAGGCUUCGGUCUAAUUUUGUAAGUCACUUUAACUUAAUAAAAUUAGAGACUUUUCAUACGGUUCGAAGUGUUUGACUUGCCGAGCCAUCCCCGAGAUUAUAGGUCAUAGCUCCGACAUAUCUCGUUCGGACGUUCGG